Molecule: long non-coding RNA, 1080 nt
Organism: Anas platyrhynchos (mallard)
Lineage: Eukaryota; Metazoa; Chordata; Aves; Anseriformes; Anatidae
Source: RefSeq, a predicted model, not a curated record
GUCAUAAGGGUGCAAAUAUCUCUUUUGCCGUACCUCACUGUUCAUUGAGGUAUUUAGGCCUCUUCCAGCUGCCUUUUUUAAUUUUUAUUAUUACUAUUUUUUAAUUGGAACAAGGAUGGCUGAGGGUGAAAAGAAGAAAAGAGAAGGUGAGGGAGCAACAGGGGGGAAGGUGUGGUAUGAAAGGGCAGAAUACACAUUUUACAGCUGGGAGAGGCAAAGAAGUUUCCCUGAAAGCAAGCAAAAGCUCAGGAAAAGAGGAAGGAAAGUGGAAAGGAGCCAGGUGAGAGCCAGGUGAAAGAAGUUUAAGAAACACUAAUUAGUUAACGCUUGUAAAGGGUCUCUGAGAGUACAAAGCUAUAGCUGUAUGCUAAUCUACUAAUUAUUAUUUUGUGGAGUGUCUUGGUUUAUGCAAUCAUGUAUAUUAAUCGCAGCUGACUUGUCAAUAGCAAUGAAUGAUGGGAGCAUAAUACAAAAAUUAAGCAGCAGUUAAGGUCAAGCUCUUUUGUUUUCCUGGAGUAGAAAGCAGUUUUCUCAAGGCUUAUUUUGAAUUUUUUGGAAGAAGUCCUGUUCAAAUGGAGCGAGCUCUUCCCCUGAGUGUCCCCAGUGUGGCCCCUGGCCCGGCACAGAGAAGGCUGGUGCUGUGCUACAUUUGCUCCCUUGGACAACCAGGUGACCCCGUCCAAGGUUAAGCAUGAAUCCCCGAGGAAGAGCUAUGCACUAUGCUCCACAACAGGAGCAACGCCUCUCUGUGACUUGAGUGAAGGAAGCAACAUUGAUGGAUAGAAGAGGAGGAGAAAGCGAGAUGCUCAUCGAGCCCAGCUGAUGCAUAUAGGUUCAUUUAUAUCUUGUCCAUAAACAUACGAAGUACUAGAAGAGACCCCUGGGAAGCCAGUGACACUAAUGGAAAAGUUAAGUGUGAGACUGUACAGCUGGACUUAGAUGCCUUUUAUUCAGAGUUGUUAUUAGUUUAGACAAAGCAAUCUAGAGCUGUCAGGGCUGCAACCUCUGUACUCACCUCUGUAAAUUUUCAUGGAUUCUAUCACCUUAAUAACAGGAAUUAAAAUCUGGUUGUUUGUCUUA